CACGCCAGCAGCACAAUGAUGAUGUCUCUGACUCUACUGCUGGCCACCCUGGGGCUCCUUGUUCAGGGUUCAUCAGGAGAUAUCACUGUGUCUCAGUCUCCUGAAUCUCAGUCUGUUGUUCCAGGCCAGACUGUCUCUAUCAAAUGUAAAGCCAGUAGAUCUAUAGGUGAUGACAUCAACUGGUACCUUCAGAAACCUGGGGAAGCUCCAAUACUCUUGAUUUAUGAUACUACAAAUCGUCAGUCUGGAGUUUCCAAUCGAUUUAGUGCAACAGCACAUCAGACUGACUUCACUCUGACCAUCAGCAGAGUCCAGGCUAAAGAUGCAGGAGUUUAUUAUUGUCAGCAGGAUAACAGCCGCCCGUUCACACAGUGAUACAAUGUCGUACAAAAACCUCCCUCAGCUGCAGAGGAACUGAUCUGAAUCAACAGCUGCACAAACACAGACACAUUUUAGACGAAUGACUGACAGUGAAGUCCACACAACAGAUCACUGUCAGGAAACACUGUUUAUAGUUUAAGUUUUAUCUGAUUUAGU
Toxotes jaculatrix (banded archerfish) is the source of this 537-nucleotide non-coding RNA. The record is from the annotation of a RefSeq genome assembly. Lineage: Eukaryota; Metazoa; Chordata; Actinopteri; Toxotidae.